GACGAACGCUGGCGGCGUGCUUAACACAUGCAAGUCGAACGGAGCGAAUGAAAGCUUGCUUUUAUAAGCUUAGUGGCAAACGGGUGAGUAACACGUAGACAACCUGCCGACAGGAUGGGGACAACAUUCCGAAAGGAAUGCUAAUACCGAAUGAAGUGCAGGGGAGGCAUCUCCCCUGCAUGAAAGAUGGCCUCUUUUUAUGCUAUCACCUGUUGAUGGGUCUGCGUCUGAUUAGCUGGUAGGUGAGGUAACGGCUCACCUAGGCGACGAUCAGUAGCCGGUCUGAGAGGAUGAACGGCCACAUUGGGACUGAGACACGGCCCAGACUCCUACGGGAGGCAGCAGUGGGGAAUCUUCCGCAAUGGGCGCAAGCCUGACGGAGCAACGCCGCGUGAGUGAAGAAGGUCUUCGGAUCGUAAAGCUCUGUUGAUGGGGACGAACGUGCCUAAUGCGAAUAGUUUUAGGCAAUGACGGUACCCAUCGAGGAAGCCACGGCUA
Molecule: ribosomal RNA, 498 nt
Filed under: Centipeda noxia
Lineage: Bacteria; Bacillati; Bacillota; Negativicutes; Selenomonadales; Selenomonadaceae
Description: bacterial SSU rRNA
Rfam family: Bacterial small subunit ribosomal RNA
Source: RNAcentral